UACGUAGGGGCAAGCGUUGUCCGGAAUUAUUGGGCGUAAAGAGCGUGUAGGCGGUCCGGUAAGUCGGUUGUGAAAGUCCAGGCUCAACCUGGAUGCCGAUCGAUACUGCCGGACUAGAGUCCGGAAGAGGCGAGUGGAAUUCCCGGUGUAGCGGUGAAUGCGCAGAUAUCGGGAGGAACACCAAUGGCGAAGCAGCUCGCUGGACGGUACUGACGCUGAGACGCGAAAGCGUGGGAGCAACAGG
RNAcentral lists this ribosomal RNA (244 nucleotides) under uncultured bacterium. Its description in RNAcentral is "partial 16S ribosomal RNA". It matches the Rfam family "Bacterial small subunit ribosomal RNA", at positions 524 to 776 of the family's 1533-position model. The record is from RNAcentral.